Molecule: ribosomal RNA, 494 nt
Filed under: uncultured bacterium
Lineage: Bacteria
Description: partial 16S ribosomal RNA
Rfam family: Bacterial small subunit ribosomal RNA
Source: RNAcentral
GACGAACGCUGGCGGCGUGCUUAACACAUGCAAGUCGAACGGAAAGGCCUGCUUUCCCUUGUGGAUUGCGGGUACUCGAGUGGCGAACGGGUGAGUAACACGUGAGUGAUCUGCCCCCAACUUGGGUAUAAGCCUGGGAAACUGGGUCUAAUUCCCGAUAGGACUGCAGGGUGGUGCCUGUGGUGGAAAACGAUUUUCUAGUGGUUGGGGAUGAGCUCGCGGCCUAUCAGCUUGUUGGUGGGGUAAUGGCCUACCAAGGCGGCGACGGGUAGCCGGCCUGAGAGGGUGGACGGCCACAUUGGGACUGGGAUACGGCCCAGACUCCUACGGGAGGCAGCAGUGGGGAAUAUUGCACAAUGGGGGGAAGCCUGAUGCAGCGACGCCGCGUGGGGGAUGACGGCCUUCGGGUUGUAAACUCCUUUCGACCGCGAGGAAGCCACCUGGUUGGAAGGGUGGUGACGGUAGUGGUAGAAGAAGCACCGGCUAACUACGUG